GCUGGGCAUGGUGGCGUAUGCCUGUAAUCCCAGCAACUCUGGAGGCUGAGGCGGGAGAAUUGCUUGAGCCUGGGAGGCAGAGGUUGCAGUGAGCUGAGCCACUGCCCUCCAGCCUUGGCGACAGAGCAAGACUCCGUCUCAA
This 142-nucleotide non-coding RNA is filed under the name Nomascus leucogenys (northern white-cheeked gibbon). The record is from Rfam by way of RNAcentral. Lineage: Eukaryota; Metazoa; Chordata; Mammalia; Primates; Hylobatidae.